AUGGCUGUCGUCAGCUCGUGUCGUGAGAUGUUGGGUUAAGUCCCGCAACGAGCGCAACCCUUAUCCUAUGUUGCCAGCGCGUAAUGGCGGGGACUCGUAGGAGACUGCCGGGGUCAACUCGGAGGAAGGUGGGGACGACGUCAAGUCAUCAUGCCCCUUAUAUCCAGGGCUGCAAACAUGCUACAAUGGCCGGUACAAAGGGCUGCGAGACCGCGAGGUUGAGCGAAUCCCAUAAAGCCGGUCUCAGUUCGGAUUGGAGUCUGCAACUCGACUCCAUGAAGCUGGAGUCGCUAGUAAUCCCGGAUCAGCAACGCCGGGGUGAAUACGUUCCCGGGCCUUGUACACACCGCCCGUCACACCACGAAAGUUGGUAACACCCGAAGCCAGUGGCCCAACCCUUUGGGAGGGAGCUGUCGAAGGUGGGAUCAGCGAUUGGGGUGAAGUCGUAACAAGGUAGCCGUACCGGAAGGUGCGGCUGGAUCACCUCCUUUCUAAGGAGUCCAAGCCUCUCCACCUGGAGAGGGGAUUCCCAGUUGAAGCACUAGCUAGUUGGGUCCGCCACCACCGAACAUCGAUCGUAGGUUCUGCCUCUCGAUGCCGGCGCUGGUAGAUCGUUCCGUCCUCUGUUCCGCUCUGAAGGAGUGCCCCGACGCCCUCACCGGCUUUGACUGGUGGGGGCUUCGCUGCGCCUUCGGGUCGAUCAUCGACCCCCUUCGCCCCUUGAGAACUGCAUAGCGAGCACGAGCAUCUUUGUUCUUCCAAGCUACAAAGAGCCAACGGUGGAUGCCUUGGCGUCUACUACCGAUGAAGGACGUGUCUGGCUGCGAUAAGCCACGGUCAGCUGCCUAGAGAGCGUUAUGAACCGUGGAUGUCCGAAUGGGGAAACCCGG
RNAcentral lists this small RNA (890 nucleotides) under uncultured Acidimicrobiales bacterium. Its description in RNAcentral is "bacterial SSU rRNA". The stretch from base 1 to 491 matches the Rfam family "Bacterial small subunit ribosomal RNA", at positions 1045 to 1533 of the family's 1533-position model. Lineage: Bacteria; Bacillati; Actinomycetota; Acidimicrobiia; Acidimicrobiales. The record is from RNAcentral.